GUUUCCUACGGGGGGCAGCAGUGAGGAAUAUUGGUCAAUGGGCGGAAGCCUGAACCAGCCAAGUCGCGUGAGGGAAGAAGGCCCUGCGGGUCGCAGACCUCUUUGGACGGGGAGCAAGGCCGCCGACGUGUCGGCGGAAGGAGAGUACCCGUAGAACAAGCAUCGGCUAACUCCGUGCUAGCAGCCGCGGUAAUACGUAGGGGGCAAGCGUUAUCCGGAUUUACUGGGUGUAAAGGGAGCGUAGACGGCAGCGCAAGUCUGGAGUGAAAUCCCAUGGCUUAACCAUGGAACUGCUUUGGAAACUG
Molecule: ribosomal RNA, 305 nt
Filed under: uncultured bacterium
Lineage: Bacteria
Description: bacterial SSU rRNA
Rfam family: Bacterial small subunit ribosomal RNA
Source: RNAcentral